CCACUGUCAGCUUGGGGGAAUACUGAAAUUGGAGUAGAAGAUGCAGAUGCAUAUACAACAUUAACUGUCAUUUGGUACAUUUGUGAAAGUUUUGUUUUUGUUCUGUUUCAUUUUAUUUUAAUUUCAGUUCAGAUUACUUUGCGGGAUGGUUUAAGGUUCUUUUCUAGGUAAGAUUGAAGUUAAAUUUUGAGUUUUUAAAUCUAUUGGCUUCUAUGGAUCUGAUAACAAAACAAUAGUGCAAAUUGAUCAGUUCAUAUUAAUUGGCGAUUCAUUUGAUUUAGGCUUGAUUCACAUAUAAUUUAUGAUCUGGUCAAUAGAUUCGAAUUAUGAGGGUUGGGAGUCAACUUGAAUUGUAUGAUUCUAGGGGCAUUUCCUGCUUAGGUAGAAUAGUGUCCAGUAGAAUUUAUUUAGUCUCCUUAAGGAAAAAAU
This 429-nucleotide unclassified non-coding RNA is filed under the name Hevea brasiliensis (rubber tree). The record is from RNAcentral. Lineage: Eukaryota; Viridiplantae; Streptophyta; Magnoliopsida; Malpighiales; Euphorbiaceae.